RNAcentral lists this ribosomal RNA (1254 nucleotides) under Staphylococcus pseudintermedius. RNAcentral's name for it is "partial 23S ribosomal RNA". It matches the Rfam family "Bacterial large subunit ribosomal RNA", at positions 1239 to 2491 of the family's 2925-position model. Lineage: Bacteria; Bacillati; Bacillota; Bacilli; Caryophanales; Staphylococcaceae. The record is from RNAcentral.
UUCUAAGGGCGUUGAAGCAUGAUCGCAAGGACAUGUGGAGCGCUUAGAAGUGAGAAUGCCGGUGUGAGUAGCGAAAGACGGGUGAGAAUCCCGUCCACCGAUUGACUAAGGUUUCCAGAGGAAGGCUCGUCCGCUCUGGGUUAGUCGGGUCCUAAGCUGAGGCCGACAGGCGUAGGCGAUGGAUAACAGGUUGAUAUUCCUGUACCACCAUUAUUCGUUUUAAGCGAUGGGGGGACGCAGUAGGAUAGGCGAAGCGUGCUGUUGGAGUGCACGUCCAAGCAGUGAGAUUGAGUGUUAGGCAAAUCCGGCACUCUUAAGAUUGAGCUGUGAUGGGGAGAGGAACUUGUUCCUCGAGUCGUUGAUUUCACACUGCCGAGAAAAGCCUCUAGCUAGAAUAACGGUGCCCGUACCGCAAACCGACACAGGUAGUCAAGAUGAGAAUUCUAAGGUGAGCGAGCGAACUCUCGUUAAGGAACUCGGCAAAAUGACCCCGUAACUUCGGGAGAAGGGGUGCUCUUUGAGGUUCACGCUUCGAAGAGCCGCAGUGAAUAGGCCCAAGCGACUGUUUAUCAAAAACACAGGUCUCUGCUAAACCGUAAGGUGACGUAUAGGGGCUGACGCCUGCCCGGUGCUGGAAGGUUAAGAGGAGUGGUUAGCGCAAGCGAAGCUACGAAUCGAAGCCCCAGUAAACGGCGGCCGUAACUAUAACGGUCCUAAGGUAGCGAAAUUCCUUGUCGGGUAAGUUCCGACCCGCACGAAAGGCGUAACGAUUUGGGCACUGUCUCAACGAGAGACUCGGUGAAAUCAUAGUACCGGUGAAGAUGCCGGUUACCCGCGACAGGACGGAAAGACCCCGUGGAGCUUUACUGUAGCCUGAUAUUGAAAUUCGGUACAGUUUGUACAGGAUAGGUAGGAGCCUUAGAAGCGUGAGCGCUAGCUUACGUGGAGGCAUUGGUGGGAUACUACCCUAAUUGUAUUGGAUUUCUAACCCGCAGCACUUAUCGUGCUGGGAGACAGUGUCAGGCGGGCAGUUUGACUGGGGCGGUCGCCUCCUAAAGAGUAACGGAGGCGCUCAAAGGUUCCCUCAGAAUGGUUGGAAAUCAUUCAUAGAGUGUAAAGGCAUAAGGGAGCUUGACUGCGAGACCUACAAGUCGAGCAGGGUCGAAAGACGGACUUAGUGAUCCGGUGGUUCCGCAUGGAAGGGCCAUCGCUCAACGGAUAAAAGCUACCCCGGGGAUAACAGGCUUAUCUCCC